Molecule: transfer RNA, 76 nt
Filed under: Roseofilum reptotaenium AO1-A
Lineage: Bacteria; Bacillati; Cyanobacteriota; Cyanophyceae; Desertifilales; Desertifilaceae
Also listed under: 2 other names
Description: tRNA-Met
Rfam family: tRNA
About the family: Transfer RNA (tRNA) molecules are approximately 80 nucleotides in length. Their secondary structure includes four short double-helical elements and three loops (D, anti-codon, and T loops). Further hydrogen bonds mediate the characteristic L-shaped molecular structure. tRNAs have two regions of fundamental functional importance: the anti-codon, which is responsible for specific mRNA codon recognition, and the 3' end, to which the tRNAs corresponding amino acid is attached (by aminoacyl-tRNA synthetases). tRNAs cope with the degeneracy of the genetic code in two manners: having more than one tRNA (with a specific anti-codon) for a particular amino acid; and 'wobble' base-pairing, i.e. permitting non-standard base-pairing at the 3rd anti-codon position.
Source: RNAcentral
AGCAGUGUAGCUUAAUGGUUAAAGCCCCAAGCUCAUAACUUGGUCGAUGUGGGUUCAAGUCCCACCACUGCCACCA